Molecule: ribosomal RNA, 497 nt
Filed under: uncultured bacterium
Lineage: Bacteria
Description: partial 16S ribosomal RNA
Rfam family: Bacterial small subunit ribosomal RNA
Source: RNAcentral
GAUGAACGCUGGCGGCGUGCCUAAUACAUGCCAGUCGAGCGAACAGACGAGGAGCUUGCUCCUCUGACGUUAGCGGCGGACGGGUGAGUAACACGUGGAUAACCUACCUAUAAGACUGGGAUAACUUCGGGAAACCGGAGCUAAUACCGGAUAAUAUAUUGAACCGCAUGGUUCAAUAGUGAAAGACGGUUUUGCUGUCACUUAUAGGUGGAUCCGCGCCGCAUUAGCUAGUUGGUAAGGUAACGGCUUACCAAGGCGACGAUGCGUAGCCGACCUGAGAGGGUGAUCGGCCACACUGGAACUGAGACACGGUCCAGACUCCUACGGGAGGCAGCAGUAGGGAAUCUUCCGCAAUGGGCGAAAGCCUGACGGAGCAACGCCGCGUGAGUGAUGAAGGUCUUCGGAUCGUAAAACUCUGUUAUUAGGGAAGAACAAAUGUGUAAGUAACUAUGCACGUCUUGACGGUACCUAAUCAGAAAGCCACGGCUAACUACGUG